Molecule: ribosomal RNA, 362 nt
Filed under: uncultured Xanthobacter sp.
Lineage: Bacteria; Pseudomonadati; Pseudomonadota; Alphaproteobacteria; Hyphomicrobiales; Xanthobacteraceae
Description: bacterial SSU rRNA
Rfam family: Bacterial small subunit ribosomal RNA
Source: RNAcentral
AUCUGCCGGUGAUAAGCCGCGAGGAAGGUGGGGAUGACGUCAAGUUCCUCAUGGCCCUUACGGGGCUGGGCUACACACGUGCUACAAUGGCGGUGACAGUGGGAUGCGAGCCUGCGAAGGUGAGCAAAUCUCCCAAAAGCCGUCUCAGUUCGGAUUGCACUCUGCAACUCGAGUGCAUGAAGUUGGAAUCGCUAGUAAUCGUGGAUCAGCAUGCCACGGUGAAUACGUUCCCGGGCCUUGUACACACCGCCCGUCACACCAUGGGAGUUGGCUUUACCCGAAGGCGCUGCGCUAACCCGCAAGGGAGGCAGGCGACCACGGUAGGGUCAGCGACUGGGGUGAAGUCGUAACAAGGUAGCCGA